Homarus americanus (American lobster) is the source of this 787-nucleotide long non-coding RNA. RefSeq lists it as uncharacterized. The transcript has 4 exons. NCBI's taxonomy places the organism in Eukaryota, Metazoa, Arthropoda, Malacostraca, Decapoda, Nephropidae. The record is from RefSeq and is a predicted model, not a curated record.
GGAGAAGGCAUGAGUGCACAUGCUCGGGGCGGCGCGGGUGCACGGGGCAUGCGGGCCGGCCGAGGGAGUAUUGAUCGUGGUGGGGAGCCUGGUGGGCUAUUGAUCGCAGUGGUGGCAGACGGCGCCGUGUGGCCCAGCCGUGCAGGUCUUGAGCUGUGAGCCGUGCCCGCACCACCCCGCGCUCUGUGUGACCUCUGACCCUGUGUGACCUGUGUGGAGUGUGGCCUGCCUCGACCCCCCGUGUAGGGCCCACGAGGUGUUCCCUUAGUGUCCUGGCCGCCCACACCGCGCGCCCGCCCGCCCGCUUGCCCGCCCGCCCCUCCGAUCCGCCGUAUCUGUGUUAGCAGCAGCUGUGGGUAGUGAUGGCCGCGCCCUAGUGCUGCCGCCCGCCCACCCAGUGUAGUGUGUGUGUGUGUGUGUGUCUUGUGUGUGGACCUGGCCGCCACACACCCACCGCCCACCCCGCCCCCACACCUAGCCCGCCCGCCCGCCCACACCGCCACUGCUGCUGCUGUUGCUGUUGCUGCUGCUGCCGCCGCCGCCGCCACUACUAUCAUCUCACACCACCUGCUUCACGCCCACACCACCACGCCCACCGCCCCAGCCCGUCCGGAAAGAAUGGCGGCGUCCCGGCAUCGAUACUUUUGGGUCUUUCAGGACCUCCAUGCCUGCUGAUGUACUUUUCUGACCUCCCACUUGUGAGUGCGAAGAGUUCGUACUUAUCCCCGGGGGAGCAGGUUGUGUGGUGCUGAUUCUCCGGAACUUGGAUGUAUAGGAAGCUGAAGGU